Molecule: non-coding RNA, 1009 nt
Organism: Mauremys mutica (yellowpond turtle)
Lineage: Eukaryota; Metazoa; Chordata; Testudines; Geoemydidae
Source: the annotation of a RefSeq genome assembly
GCCACUCAGACGUAGCAAGAUGAUCUCACAGGCUCAGCUCAUCUGGCUGUUAGUGCUCUGGAUCCAGGACUCCAGCGGGGACAUUGUGAUGACUCAGACUCCAGAAUCCCUGGCAGUGUCUCCGGGAGACACAGUCACUAUCCGCUGCAAAGCCAGUUCAAGCCUCACCUGGGGUAGCAAUCACUUACUAGCCUGGUACCAACAGAAAUCAGGACAAGCGCCAAAGCUCCUUAUCUAUGCUGGAAGCUCCUUGCAAUCCGGGGUCCCAGCCCGGUUCAGUGGCAGUGGAUCUGGCACCGAUUACACACUCACAAUCAGUAGGGUUGAAGCUGAAGAUGCUGGAGAUUAUUAUUGUCAACAGCAUUAUGAAACCCCUCGGACGUUCGGUCAAGGAACCAAGGUAGAAAUAAAACGUAGAGACAAUGCCAAGCCUUCGGUGUUCAUCUUUCCCCCAUCAGCCGACCAGCUGUCUGGGGGAUCAGUCACCUUGGCGUGCCUGGUGAAUGGCUUCUACCCAAGUGCCUUGAAUGUGAUCUGGAAAGUGGAUAAGACCACCACCACGACUGGUGUCCUCACCAGCACGAAGCAGCAAGAUUCUUCUGACAGCACGUACAGCCUGAGCAGCACCCUGACGCUUCCGAAAGAUCAGUACAACGCGCACAACGACUAUAGCUGCGAGGUGACGCAUGAAACCGUGACGGGCGCUCUUGUCAAGAGUUUCAAGAGAUCGGAUUGUACGCAGUAGGGGGCUCCCAGGGAAAGAUCCCUGCCGCCUCUUUGCAGCCUUUCUUAUGCUUUGUUUAUGUAACUAUCCGUCUUAUUCUUUUUUUUUUCCUCCCAAAAUAUGGUGACCGAGAUCUUCCAGGUCUCAACUCCUGCCUUACCCCUUGCUAAUGGUACUGGAUAACCAGGCCCUGCCUGAUUUCACCCUGCUGCCUAAUGAGGUUUCCUGCUUUUAUCAUGUUUCAACUUCAAAAAUGAAUAAAUAAAUGAAAUCAAUGAAACAGCA